AUAUGGCGGAGCUAACGGCCGUGUGCGGAGCUAGCUAGCUUGCUUAGCUAGGUGCAACUUGAACAUACAGAAGGAAUGUCCAGCCUGCUAACACCUGCUGAGUGCUCUUUCACCUUCUGCCAGUGAGAAGAAUAGCUCUGACAAGGUUGACUGGCUCCACAGAAAAGAAUUCAAAUCAAAACCUCUUGAGCCCUGCGGAACAGUUGUCCAGAUGACAAAGGACUAAAUGGCAGGCUUUACAACGUCACAAACUGUCAGCAUUAUCACCUUUAGCCAUUUAUUUAUUUAUUUUUCAAAGAUUUCAGAUUAAGUCGCUUUCAGAUGCUGAGAUUAUAGCAGGUCUAAAUAAACUAUGUGGCUAAAUGCAGGCUUACUAUACAUUUUUA
This is a long non-coding RNA of Micropterus dolomieu (smallmouth bass), 386 nucleotides long. RefSeq lists it as uncharacterized. Lineage: Eukaryota; Metazoa; Chordata; Actinopteri; Centrarchiformes; Centrarchidae. The transcript is spliced from 2 exons. The record is from RefSeq and is a predicted model, not a curated record.